GACGAACCGUGCGAACGUUGUUCGGAAUCACUGGGCUUAAAGGGCGCGUAGGCGGGCUGCCAAGUCUGGGGUGAAAUCCCACGGCUCAACCGUGGAACUGCUGGGUAUACUGGGCGUCUUGGGCCAACUAGGGGCUGCCGGAACAAAUGGUGGAGCGGUGAAAUGCGUAGAUAUCAUUUGGAACGCCAAGGGCGAAAGCAGGCAGCUGGGGUUGUGCCGACGCUGAGACACGAAAGCCAGGGGAGCGAACGGG
RNAcentral lists this ribosomal RNA (253 nucleotides) under uncultured bacterium. RNAcentral describes it as "partial 16S ribosomal RNA". It matches the Rfam family "Bacterial small subunit ribosomal RNA", at positions 524 to 776 of the family's 1533-position model. The record is from RNAcentral.